GGCGAACGCUGGCGGCGUGCUUAACACAUGCAAGUCGAACGGAAAGGCCCUGCUUGCAGGGUACUCGAGUGGCGAACGGGUGAGUAACACGUGGGUGAUCUGCCCUGCACUUCGGGAUAAGCCUGGGAAACUGGGUCUAAUACCGGAUAGGAGCCAUUUUUAGUGUGAUGGUUGGAAAGUUUUUUCGGUGUAGGAUGAGCUCGCGGCCUAUCAGCUUGUUGGUGGGGUAAUGGCCUACCAAGGCGGCGACGGGUAGCCGGCCUGAGAGGGUGGACGGCCACAUUGGGACUGAGAUACGGCCCAGACUCCUACGGGAGGCAGCAGUGGGGAAGAUUGCACAAUGGGCGCAAGCCUGAUGCAGCGACGCCGCGUGGGGGAUGACGGCCUUCGGGUUGUAAACUCCUUUCGCUAGGGACGAAGCUUUUUGUGACGGUACCUAGAUAAGAAGCACCGGCUAACUACGUG
Molecule: ribosomal RNA, 465 nt
Filed under: uncultured bacterium
Lineage: Bacteria
Description: partial 16S ribosomal RNA
Rfam family: Bacterial small subunit ribosomal RNA
Source: RNAcentral